Molecule: ribosomal RNA, 467 nt
Filed under: uncultured bacterium
Lineage: Bacteria
Description: partial 16S ribosomal RNA
Rfam family: Bacterial small subunit ribosomal RNA
Source: RNAcentral
GACGAACGCUGGCGGCGUGCUUAACACAUGCAAGUCGAACGGAAAGGCCCUGCUUUUGUGGGGUGCUCGAGUGGCGAACGGGUGAGUAACACGUGAGUAACCUGCCCUUGACUUUGGGAUAACUUCAGGAAACUGGGUCUAAUAUCGCAUAGGAGCUCCUGCUGCAUGGUGUGGGUUGGAAAGUUUCGGCGGUUGGUGAUGGACUGGCGGCUUAUCAGCUUGUUGGUGGGGUAGUGGCUUACCAAGGCUUUGACGGGUAGCCGGCCAGAGGGGGUGACCGGCCACAUUGGGAAUGAGAUACGGCCGAGACUCCUACGGGGGGCAGCAGUGGGGAAUAUCGCACAAUGGGCGGAAGCCUGAUGCAGCAACGCGGCGUGCGGGAUGACGGCCUUCGGGUUGUAAACCGCUUUCGCUUGUGACGAAGCGUGAGUGACGGUAAUGGGUAAAGAAGCACCGGCUAACUACGU